RNAcentral lists this long non-coding RNA (2033 nucleotides) under Homo sapiens (human). RNAcentral describes it as "HSALNT0296446". Lineage: Eukaryota; Metazoa; Chordata; Mammalia; Primates; Hominidae. The record is from RNAcentral.
ACCGACCUUCACAUAAGCUUGCUUGGAGUACAGAAACAGUUUCUGAAUCUGAAAGACUUCUCCGUACUAUAAAACUGAAGGCACACAAAUCUGCCCUUCAAGCUAUAAUUAACUGGACAUACUAAAAUGGGAACCAGUAAGACUGCCUGAGCCCACAGAAUACAGAAUAGAAGCUGGAGUGCUGGUAGGAACAAAUUCUCCAUGUGAUAGCCUUUUGUGGAAUGCAAAAGUCUGUGAGCACAUCCCAGUGAUGACUACUGUGACUCUGAACUAGAGAAUUUUCACUUAAGAGGCAUUUACUGCCUUGUUAUAGGACAUUAACUGAAGACAUUCUAUGAUGGAAGGACAUAAAAUGAUCAUGACAUCUGAAAUACCCAUGCUCUUUGGGGCAAUGUCAGAAACAGUCUAAUUGGGGUCAGCAGUGCCCAGAAGAGUUCCACAAUAAAAUGGAGAUACUUUGUAUAUGAUCAUGCUACUUGGGAAAUUCAAGGAGGAGACACUCAUGAGCAGGGAGCCUCUUUUUCCCCAGGACUGACUCUGAAACUGUGUGAGAAGCUGCAGGAUUCUACAGUGCCCAUUAAACAGCUCUUACCUGACUGACAAAGAGCUGCCUGGUUUAUGAAUGGCAAUUCCAAGGUGAACAGACAACAAUCUGUUUGGAAGUCUGCUACUCUGACUGAAGAGGAGUCAAGAAAACUUUUUUUUCUUUUGAGCUAUUUAUAGCUUAUGACAAGUAAAGUAUAUCUUUAUGAGCAAAAUUUGCCUUUCUACCUGAGUUCUCACAAUUGUGGAAACUUCCUUCAUAAGUAUUCUUAUUUUAUGGCAAUAUAGUUAUUUGCAUACAUUCAAUAAGAAUCUGCUUUCUUUGGUAGCAGGACACAAUUGGAGAUGCUAGCUACUUUACCAAGGCUUUGACUGGAUUGGCAUAUUUUUAGAUAUGACCAGACUGCUUUGAGGAGUUGACAUUGACUUUACAGAGCCAAUAAAAGCACCUCGGAAAGACUAGCCUUCCAUCUUGUCUAUGUAGUUUCUUUAUAGUGUUCCUCACCUGCGAUAAGUAAAAAAUGUUACUUUCAACAGAUCCAGAAACCUCAAGUUAUUCUGGGACCUCCACAAGAGAUGAGUGGAGGUCCCAAAAUAACCCAAUUCAUAUAGGUAUCUGUAGGCAUGGAUAAAUCCUUGGUUUAGCUAACCUUAAGGCUUUUAAAAAGUCUAAACUAAGAUUCCUUAUGGAAAAGUUUCUGCAAAGUCAACUUAAAAGAGCCUAUAUGGCCAACGAAUAUUCUUGCCAUACUUUAUGCAAAUAGUCAGGCAAAGUAUAACACUUAUUUUGCAAAUAAAUUGGUCCUACUAUAAUUUGUCUUUGGUAGAAAUGGAAUACUAGAGAUAAAAAUUUUGUUUCAAAAGAAACUAUAGUAUACCUGUUACUAGAUUCUAGUCUUAGUCUUGUCUAUUACUUUUGAGUUUUUAUUGUUUUCUACAAUUUGAACUAAACCUGAAUUCUUCCCUGGCUACAAGUCUUCAAACUAAGAUUUUCAAAAAUUUCUUCCAUUUUUCUGACUUGAACUCUGUUCCAGACAGAAAUAUAGUUAUAACUAAGCAUUAAUAGGCUAUACUUUGGCCCAUUUCCUUGUUGCUAAAGUCACAUAGCACUACAUGCUGACCAUUUACAUCCCCACUGUUCUUACAGACAGGAUCUCUGACAUUAGAAUCAUAAGGAUUUUGCUUAAGGAUCAUUGAAAAUGUUUUUCAGACCCUGAGUUGCAGUGAAACAGCUGAUGCCAACCAGUCAGAAGACCCUCAUAGAGGAAUGAAAUCAGCAUGAGAAUACAGCUUCUUCAUCAUCCUGUCCCAUUACUUCACCUUACACUCUGACCAAUCAACAAUCUCCACACUUCAGCCCAGUCCAAAACCCUUAAAAACUCUAGGCCCAAACUUCUCAGGGAGAUGGAUUUGAGGUUUUCUCUCAUCUCCUAGUUUGGUGACCCCCAGAUUAAACCUUUUUCUCUGCUGCAAAAAAAAAAAAAAAAAAA